RNAcentral lists this ribosomal RNA (672 nucleotides) under uncultured archaeon. RNAcentral's name for it is "bacterial SSU rRNA". It matches the Rfam family "Archaeal small subunit ribosomal RNA", at positions 152 to 827 of the family's 1478-position model. The record is from RNAcentral.
CCGGAUGGAUCACCAGUGCUGGAAUGCUAGGUGGUUUAAAGGUAACGCCCUUGGAUGGGUCUGCGGCGGAUUAGGUUGACGCCGGUGUAACGUACCGGCGUGCCUGUAAUCCGUACGGGUUGUGGGAGCAAGAGCCCGGAGAUGGAUUCUGAGACACGAAUCCAGGCCCUACGGGGCGCAGCAGGCGCGAAAACUCUACAAUGCAGGCAACUGCGAUAGGGGGACAUCGAGUGGCAUCCACCUUGGGUGCCUGUCCAACCGUCUAAAAAACGGUUGUUAGCAAGGGCCGGGUAAGACCGGUGCCAGCCGCCGCGGUAAUACCGGCGGCUCGAGUGGUGGCCGAUAUUAUUGAGUCUAAAGGGUCCGUAGCCGGCUUUGCAAGUCCCCUGGGAAAUCCAGCGGCUUAACCGUUGGGCUUCCAUGGGAUACUACAUUGCUUGGGACUGGGAGAGGUAGGAGGUACUCGGGGGGUAGGGGUGAAAUCCUGUAAUCCUCCGGGGACCACCGGUGGCGAAGGCGUCCUACCAGAACAGGUCCGACGGUGAGGGACGAAAGCUAGGGGCACGAACCGGAUUAGAUACCCGGGUAGUCCUAGCCGUAAACGAUGCCCGCUAGGUGUCACGACGGUCGUGAAUCGUCGUGGUGCCGUAGGGAAGCCGCGAAGCGGGCCAC